This 30403-nucleotide long non-coding RNA is filed under the name Coffea arabica (coffee). RNAcentral describes it as "long non-coding RNA (CARA_LNC007558)". The record is from RNAcentral. Lineage: Eukaryota; Viridiplantae; Streptophyta; Magnoliopsida; Gentianales; Rubiaceae.
CAACUUCAAACACGCUAAAUACUUAGAAGAUAUGUCUCUCUCUCUCUCUCUCUCUCUCUCUCUCUCUCUCUCUCUCUCUCUCUCUCUCUCUCUAUAUAUAUAUAUAUAUAUAUAGAUGGUUCAAGCAUUUUUGAUGUGAUGAGAUUCAAUGUCUUCAACCAUGUGAAGGAAAAAGUUGAGCAAGGUUCCUGGAUGUGGGGUAUCUUCCUUCAGCUUCUCAUAGUCGAGAGUCCAUGUAAUCAAACUUUCUUUGUCACCAAGAACAUCAACAUGGUAUAUGAUAGUGAAGGUCUUGUACAGCUCCAUGAGAUCUCCUUCAAUCAUCUUAAAUACGAUUGAUUUCUUUUCUUCAUUUAUGUCCUGAAUAAUCUCCUUUGCCACCCUAUCUUUCCCGUCUGUAAAAAUGAAAAUUAAAUCGAUUACAGACUCUCCAAUUCCUAGUCAACAUGCUGGUAAUCCAAAAACAAGGUUUGCGGAAUUCUUUCUUUUUGUUUUUUUGCGCAAAAAAGUAUGUUUUGAUUAGGAUAGACUAUACCAUUUACACAACCAGGGAAGUAUUCUCGUUGUGAAACACCAGGUAUAUAGCAAAAGAAAAAAAAUCAGUAGUAUUUAUUAAUUGAAUUCUUUACGAAGAUGGACUUCCUUAAUUAACCUUUGUUGUUUCCACAAUCAGAUUAUUGUCUUUGUAUAAAUACUAAUGAUAAUAUUAAUAAUAAGGUUAACGUAAUAGAUCUAGUCCGUUUUUCAUUAAAACUUUUCCCGAGGCAGAUAUUAAGCUUUUAUCCUUUCUUUUUCUGGCAAAUAAGUUAGAUAACUAGUUGUAUGCCAGUUCAAAGCAGGUAAAAACAGAUGGAGAGAGUUUAAAUCAACUUAGUCCAGAAGCUGACUAACAUGCAACAAAAGCUAAAUGAAUAAAGGAAAAACAAGAAAAACUGCGAGAGAAGAAAGAGCCAAAAUAAGGAACUUGAAUAUUGAUUUCAUACCAUGGGUAUAAUGCCAGCAGAUUUUGGAUCCAACAGUUCCAAGAUCACCACCAAGCAAAGUAAACCCUUGAACUUUCUCAGGAGUUAUGGUGGCAAGAUCAUGUGGUCUUUUGCUUAAGACAUCGUGGAACACAUCUCCUGCAGGGCCAUGGAUGUUAGUUGACCAAUCAUUUUACCUUUGAGCCCCAUUUUUUUUCUGAGAAACUGAGAAGGAAAUGACCAAAUACUGCUGCAGCAAAAAAAUGCAAAGAAAUAUGGUCUACUAGACUAUCCCUUUGCUCCUUAUAUAGUAUAGAACUGAUGGGUGACUUCACCCCCCACCUCCACCCCCACCCUUUCUUUUUUUCAAUUGGGGUCUAUAAACCACGUAAGAGGAACCAAUUAUCUUCGCUAGCAACUAUCUUUUUUUUCCCUAGUUCUGCCAUUGUUACAAAGUUUUUUUUUUUAAUUCAUGAGAUGUUGUAUUGGUAAAUCAGCCCUAAUAAAUGAUACUCAGCAUCUAUUAAAAUGUGAUUAUCCUCAUUGUCUAUUAAUCUAUAAUCAUAUUACAUCUAUAGUUUUGCACUUAGGGUCAACAGACUCGACGCCAUUCAUUUUUUUAAUGCCUACAACUAAGGUUUUCUUGUGGGCAACUUAAAUUUUAUUUUGAUCGAUAUUUCUUAGUCUCAUUUUUGCUUUACGACAAGAACAUUGGAUAAAAUAAGGGCCAUCCUUAACAAAUUAUUUUGGAGAGAUCUACUUCUCGUGUCCAUGGCAAAAAUGACUCUCCAAUAAUGACUCUUAGAAGUUAGUUGACACAAUAAAUGAUAUAAAUUCAUGAGUUUUGGACAGCUGGUAAGUAGACUGUUAAUGUCAAUAAGAGAUCGCAAGUUCGACUCCUGUACGUGACACCUUGAAAAACUCUGGUAAGAUGGUCACCCCCAAAUAAAAGUUGGACUUUAUGGAUGCUCCUUGGACCGAAUCCGGGUUAGACUCACUAAGAGUGGGGAUAUCAGGUGCUCAAAACAAAAUAAAUAAAGGGUAAAAAAUAAAUAAGCCCCCUGUGGUAAACCUAAUAUACAGAAAAACCUCCCAUGGUUUCAAAUUAUAUAACACGACCCCUCUAAAUUGUAAAGAUGACGGAAUCCGUUAAACUUAACGGAAAUAGACAAAAUGACCAAAAUGCCGUGAUAUAAUUAAGCCAAAGACAGCUCAAAAAAAUCAUUUGUUUUAUUCUCUAAAUAGAGAGAAUUGAGGGUUAAGGGGUAGAAUAGGUAUAUUUGAUAAAAAUUAGGUAUAAAUUUUUUUUUAGGUUUCAAUAAGUCAUUUCCGUUAAGUUUAACAGAUUCCGUCACCUUUACAAUUUAGCUCAAAGUAUGAGGUGCCGUAUUGUAUAUUUUGAAACCAUAGGGGGCUUUUCUGUGUAUUAGACUUACCACAGGGGGUUUUUUUGUUUUUUACCCAUAAAUAAAUGAUAUCCUCUUCUUACAUGGUUUUUGGUAGGUGGCAUACUAUUACCAAAUGGGAAAUAAAUGGAUAAGUUAAGGCCUUAUCUGAAUUACAGUUUUCUAAAGAAAAUUUUUGACGUUUUACAUAAACACAUUUAUGAAUCAUAUUUUAAUUUCACAUAUAUCAAAUUGUUGUAGCAUAUUUUUUUUGAGAAAAAAGUUUUGACGGCUCUCCAACUCUUUUUCAAGUUAAGUUUUGGCCCUUCAACAAUUAACAGUAAAGUUUUGGUUCUCGAUCUAAUAAAAGAGUAUAUUUGUGGCCCUUCUGUCAAAUCCAGAUAGUAUAGGGAUGGGCAAAAAAACCUGUUGAACCGAAAAUUCAGCGAACUCGAUGCAAUGCGAUCCGAUUUUUCUUAGCAGGGCAAAUAAGGGUCGGGUACCCGUGAAAAAUGGAUACGGAUACAGAUCAGAAAAAUAAAAACUCGUGGGUACCUGAUCCGCAGGGUAUAUUAUAUAAAUAUUAAAAAAUUAGAAAUCAUUUUAUAAUUUUAUAAUUUUUAAUCCUAAAUGUAAAUGAAGUGCCUCACAGCCUUAUAUUCUAAUAUCAUAUGAUCUGCCUCUCCUCAUAUUGUUUGAACAAAGCAAAUAUUCUCGGUGAAACCUAAAUCAAAUGAACAAAAUGAAGAAAAAUUUGUGAAAAUCUAUCAUAAAAAUUGCUCAUCCCUUUGAUUCUUUUCAUUUUUAGUCUACCUCCAUUGAUCUUUCCUGCAAAUUUUUUAUCAAUUCAAUCAAAGAUUUGUGUUUGGAGUUCUAAUUUUCUAUUAGCUAGAUGAUUAAAACAUUUGUGUCUUUCAUUUAUUUAUUUGAUUUAUUUUAUUGUAAUUAUGUCUCUUAAAUUUGUCUCUUUUAUUUUAGUGCAAGAAAGUUAUUUUUCUUUUUUAUCACCUUUAAUGCCAUAAGGUUUAUUCCAAAGAUGUAAGGAAAUUGGGAAGGAUUUUUCAAACUUGUUACUAAAAAGUGUAAAAUGAUCUCAAUUAAUUAAGCAAUGCAUCACUCAUGAUUUCAAUUUGAAGUUGAAAUUCCAAUGCAUCACUCACUAAGCAAUACAUAGUUGAAAUUUGAAGUUGGCUACAAUGAAUUACUUUCACUCAAUUAUCACACACACACAAAGAGAUAAUCAAGUAUAUGCUGGCUAUUAGAUAAAAAUUAAUUAGUUGGGCUGGCUGCCUUUGAUGACUAUCAAUAGAAGAUACACUAUCAUUGGAUACGCUCCCGCAAGCUGAAGUCAAGUCAGUCACAAUAAAAAAGAAGCCCGUCCCUAAAGUUUUAAUCAAAAUACAUUUCAUCCUUAUAGUUCUAUAGUUUUGAUCAAUUUCAUCCCUAAAAUUUCAUGUGAACAUAUUUUAUCCUCAUAGUUUCAUAAAAUUGACCAAUUGAGGACAAUUGAAUGAUUGUUAACCAAUUUGGACCAAGUAUCAUACAUAACUAGCAUGUCCCAUUGAUAAUUGUAUCAAUACUUAAUUCGAUUAUUGAUUAAAUUAUAUAAAUAACAAUGAGUGUGUUCGGAUAAAAGAUUAUUAUUUUUAAAUAUGUGAUAUAAUAUAUAUGAAAUAAAAAAAUAAAUUAGAUGAUAGACAGACAAUUUGAAAACGUGAAUAUAAUGCGACAAAACAAAAUUUUAGAAACAAAUGGCAAUCUAAACAGUUCUUUCUUUCACGUUAAUAUUUUUCUUCAUUUGAUUGCAAUGUAAUUGUUUGAAAGAUUUAUCCAAUUGGCUAUAAUGGAGUUAUUUCUUCUCCAUGACUUUAUUUCCUCUCAAUCUUUUUGUUCUAUUUGUGAUUAAGAAGAGAAUAAUGGUGGUUGAAAAUUUCUUAGUUUUUUUUAAAUAAAAAAGUGAAUUCAAAAAUAGUUUUUGAGGUUUUUUGUUGAUCCAACAUUUUCUGAAUUUUACUAACAUGCAUGUUGUGGUCAAGUGAUGAUAUUCCAUUCAAAUUGCUUGGCAAUCAAUCAAUUAUCCUUAAUUAGUCAAAUUUAUGAACUUAUGAGAAUGAAAUGUGUUUACAUGAAACGUUAAGAAUGAAAUUGGUCAAAAUUAUAAAAUUGUAAUGAUAAAAUGUGUUUUGACUGAAAUUUUGGGGACGAAAUUGCCUAACACCUCAAACAAUGAGGACGAAAAGUGCAUUUUUCCCUAAAAAUAAAAUGAACCUUCAUCCUUCCCCUUAUGUUUUUGGGCUACAGUCCUUUUUUGUUAUUACUGUGUUGAUAUUCAAGAUAACCGAACGUAUAUAGCUAGACAUGUUCCUUUUGAGGAAUCUAAGUUUUCCCCAUUCCUUGGUCCUUCUAUACUUGGUCCACCACCACGUAAAAAACAAACCAAUUCAAUCCACCUUGACUUGUUCUACCAAUUCAUGUUUUCAAAUUCAAUGGAUCCUACAUACAUUUUUAUCACAAACCGACUACUACUCUAACCCUUCUUGUCAAAGUCAAAUGAACUGACCCUAUGGUACUUCGUCACGUAACCAUCCAGAACAAAAACAAUACUACUUUAGCAAAACUUAUCUCUAAACCUUCUGUGGAGUCAUCUGAACUUAUCUCUAAAUUGAAAUAUGAAGUUAGCUGACAAUAAAUUACUUUCACUCAAUUAUUACUUAACAAAAUAAGUACAGUAUAUUGAAAAUCAAGAUGAGAAUGUGGGGUUGGGACAUCUACAUUUGCUUUCUGGUAUAGAGUCCAUUUCACCAUGUUCACAUCACCUUGGACAGUUGCCUGGAGAGUGGCUUUUACCAAAACACAGGUCUAAUUUUAAUUGAAAAAAAAAGUAAAUAUCAAAAUGGUGGAAUUAAAACAAGCAUGUAUAAGCUGGAAUCCAUCAACAAAAUUUAAAAAAAAAUGAAUAAAGAGAUUAAUUGGUUAAACUCACAUAGUAAUUUUCAAGGCCAUAAAACCAUGUUCAUCCUAGAUGGAGUCUGAUCAUUAAUCAUUUGGAGUACAAGACAGGCCAGUAUAAUUUCUUAUGUUUGGAUAGACUAGAUCUAUGUAGAUCACGUGAUUCAAAUUUUAUCAUACAAUCUCAGCAACUCAAGAAUUGAUGGUAUAGAAAAUUGUACCACAAGAUCAAGUCUAUCCAACUUUUUACCUCCUCGGUAAACUAUCAUUACUUAGUUUUAUGAGUAUCUUUUCCUUGCCAAGAAAACUAAUGAAAUGACUGAUUCUUUUUUUUUUUUUGGGUGUAAAGGCAACCACUUGAGUGAUUUCAGGAGAGACAAUGAUGACUUUAAGCUAUCAAAGUUUACUUUGCAGUAAAAAUGUAUGGCUCCAAAAAUUUUCUCACAGUCUUGUUAAAAGCUAUCAUAUAUAUGUCUGCUUUUAAUCCUACAGAUUAAUUACUGAGUAAUAGCUUUCUUGGCCCAUGACAAUAGGAACCGUCCGUCUUAGUGUCACAUAAUGCAGAUUCGUAAAACUUUAGCCCGACACCUAAGGGAGAUUCGCACUGAUAUUUCUAAGCUUAGGUAGGACCAAUAGGAGCCAAAAGAUGCCUCAGGCGCAUCAAAACUCGGUUUGGACCCCACCAAUUUACGCUAGAGCCCGUUGUGCAUUACAUCCAUGGGAGUUCGCCUUCCCCACCACAAUUUACAAGGACAGGACAGGAGCACCAAAAUUGGUCUUGUGUUUCGGCCCCAUCUCUCUACAGUAGAGUAGAAAGUCUUGUACGUGUAUCCAUGGGCCUGGUCCCGGGCCUUCCCUUCCCCACCACUAAUUAUACGAGAUUGGACAGCGACCACCGUAUAAAAUUUUUGUCCAUUGCUGAUUUUGGAGUUUCUGAAUAAAAAUGUAUUAUUAUAGUGAUUGGAUGCAUGCAAAAAGAUGGUUAGAAAAUUUGUUUACGGAAAAAAUAUAAUCUUUUUUUUUGGAAAAAUUACUUUUCAAAUGAUGCCUAGAGUCGGGUACAAACUACCCUCAAGGCAUACAAACUACCAAUCACAACUAUUAGAUUUAAGCCAUGCUUUUAUCUAUUGUCUGAGAGUAGUAAUUCUUAGGCCCUGUUUGGAAUCAAGUUUUUUGGCCAAGUUUUUUAGCUACUAGUUUUUUAACAACUUUAGCUACAGGAACCCAAAAAAACUUAUCAAAUUUUUUAACCUACACACUUUAAAAUAUCUAAUACACAAAAAACUUUCCAUUUUCUUCUUCUUUCUCCCCCACCCCUAUCCACCACACCUCCGCUGCCGGCCACCACCACCUCCACCGCUGUUUCCGGCGCCGGCCUACCCCUUUUUUUUCCUUCUCCCUCUCCCUCUCCCGGCCUCUCCCCCUCCCCCUCUCUUUCCCUCCCCUCCCCUCCCUGGCCACCCUCCCGCUUCCUCUCUGGUCGCACGCUACCACGAAAGACCGAAUUGGGCAAAAGGCUUCCGCUUCCUCUCUGGUCGCACGCUAUGCGAUCUGGUCGAACGAUCGAAUUGGGCAAAAAGGGAGGGGGGAAGGGGAGGGGAGGAGAGGGGGAGAGGGAGAUGGAGGAGAGGGGGAGAGAAAAAGCAAAAAAAAAAAUUGUAUUCUGCCAUGGCUGCUGGUUCUCCGCUUCGGGAGGGAGAGGGGGAUGGUGAAGGGGAGUAGAGGGGGAUAGGGGAGUAGAGGGGGAUAGGGGAGCAGAGAAGGAGAAGAGGGGAAGAAAAAAUGAAAAAAAAAAAUUGGGGAGAGGGGCUGUUGGUCGUCUGGUACCGCGAGGGAAGAGGGAGGGGGAAGGAAGGAAGAAGAAGAAGAAGAGGAGAGGAGAGAAAAGAAAAAGGAAAGAAAGAAAGAAAAAGAAAAAGAGAGAGAAAAAGAAAGAAAAGAAAAAAAAUGGAAGGGCCAUGGCUGCUGGGACUGAGAAGGCAGAGGUAACGGGGGAGGGAAGGGGGAGGGAGAAGGAAGAAGAAGAAGAAGAGAAAAAAGAAAAGAAAAAGGAAAGAAAGAAAAAGAAAGAGAAAGAGAAAGAAAAAAAAAGGAAAAAAAGUUUUUCGCUUUAAAAAAAUUUCUACAAAAAAGUUUUUCACCUUACAAAAACUUCUACAAUUUUUUCAAAAACUUCUACAGUGCACUACAGUAAAGUUUUAGACAAACUCCUAAAAAACUUAGGUUCCAAACAGGCCCUUAAUUUCAGCAUUAGUAGCAAAUGUAAAAACGAUUCCGCAGGUUAUACUUUGUGUGUUUGAAACACUUCUCUCUAAAACUCUUUCUCUCUCCCUUUUCUCUCUAAAACUCUUCCAAUCAAGAUCUUCUUCAUCUCUUUCACGGGAAAGAGAUCAAAUCUGAUUUUUUACCUCUGGGAGGAAGUACUCUUUAUACUUUUUAGUUUCUCUUGUUUAAAUAAAGGGAGAAUUGUAAUUUCAUCCAAUUUUGUAACGGAAUCCUAAUUGCGUGCAAUCACUUGCCUAGAUGUAGGAGCAUUUUAAAAUUUUUUUAACUCACAAAAUGCCGAUGACUUCCCUUUGGGAUUUCACUCCAAUUAUCCGAAAAUAAAAAAUAACCUGGGUUACACAAAGUCACAAACUUUCGUCGAUAUCCAUCUAAAGACUUUCGCCUCCGUCCUCUGCAGUUUGCUCACAUCCUUUCCAGGAAUCCCCUCUCUCUUCUCUCUGUCCUUUCCUUUUUCUUUUGUUUUCCCUUUCUAAAAGGACUCAAACUUCCUUUGCUCCGGUAAAUCCAUACAUGCUUUACCUUUUUCCCAGUUUUCCUUUUAUAGUCUUGGAUCUGCUUAGCUUUUCUGUUCCUUUUGUUUUUGAUACAAAUAUUGAGGCAAAUAAUAAGAGAAGCAAAAGACAAAUGUUUAUUGCUUUGUAAAACUCACACAACUUAUAACAUGAAAUUACUCUAUUUAUAGAGUUUAAAUCAACUCCACUAACUAUACCACUAACUCCACUCACUCCACUAGCAACUCCACUAGGUACUCCACUAAUCCCACUAGUUAUUCCACUAACUCCACUAAUUAGGUAGCAUAAACAAAUAUAAUUAAUUAACAACGGCAAAUAUUUCUAACAAUUCCUCCCUUAAACUGAAAGUUUAUCAAACAUUCAGUUUAAUAUGAUUUAUUAACUGCACAGACUCCAAGCAGCUUCCUUAAUUUCUGAAACGUGGAUAACUUCAAUGGCUUGGUCAUUAUAUCAGCAAUCUGAUCUUCACUUUUGCAGUAGAGAAAAUCAAUUAUUCCAUCCCUUGUGAGCUCCCUUAGAAAAUGAAACCUCACAUCUAUGUGUUUGGUUCUUUCAUGUAGAACUGGAUUUUUAGAGAGUUUGAUGGCAGAACUGUUGUCACAAUAAAUUGUAGUAGCUCCUUCUUGCUGAAAAUGCAACUCUUCAAGAAUAUUCCUUAACCAAAUUGCUUGACAGGCACAGGCGGUUGCAGCUACAUACUCAGCUUCAGUUGUUGAUAACGUAAUAAUUGGUUGCUUUUUUGAACACCAUGAAAUAGCUGCUGAACCCAUCAUGAACACAUAUCCAGACGUACUCUUUCUAUCAUCAGAAUCGCCUGCAUAGUCACUGUCAGUGAAACCAAACAAAUCUAAUUUUCCACCAUUCUUGUAAAAUAAUCCAUACUCAAUAGUUCCCUGCAAGUAUCGAAGAAUCCUCUUAGUAGCUAGAAGAUGUGUCUCCCUUGGAUUUUCCAUGUAUCUACUAAUAAGACUUACAGCAUGUAUAAUAUCAGGCCUAGUUGCUGUCAAAUACAUCAAACUUUCCACAAUUUGCUUGUAAAGGGUGCUAUCAACCCUCUUUCUCCUGGUUCUUUGAUGAGUUUUAAACCCACUUCAACUGGCGUACUAACAGAAUUACAAUUCGACAUUUGAAAUCUAUUCAGAAUUUUUUGCACAUAUUUUCUUUGAGAGACAAAAAUUCCAUCAGCAGAUUGCACCACUUCAAUACCCAAAAAAUAAUGCAUCUUUCCAAGAUCAGACAUAUCAAAUUCGGCCAUCAUAGAUUUCUUGAAUUUCUCAAACAUGGCACUAUCAUUCCCAGUAAAAAUAAGAUCAUCAACAUAUAAGCAAACAAUCAGCAAUUCCUCGCUUUGACAGUCACUGUGAUCAUUGGAGCAUGCUAAUGGAGAACUUCUUGAGAUCCAAAGAGUAUUGACAGAUUGUUGAAUCUGGAGUAGCAGAGCCAACAGCUGGAGAAAUAUUGUUAGAGGUGCAGAAAAUGGAGUUGGAAGCAUUGAAACUGAAAGAUUUUAAAGCCAAAAAUUAUCUUUUUCAAGCUAUUGAUCAGGCCAUUUUGGAGACAAUUCUUAGCUGGCUGCACAAAAUUGUCAGUGGCCAUCAUAAUUUACCAACACAAUUCUCACAACUCACUUUUGUUUUCACUCACAAGCCUAGCUCUAGUACCACUGAUACAAAUAUUGAGGCAAAUAAUAAGAGAAGCAAAGGACAAAUGUUUAUUGCUUUGUAAAACUCACACAACUUAUAACAUGAAAUUACUCUAUUUAUAGAGUUUAAAUCAAUUCCAGUAACUCCACUAACUAUGCCAAUAACUCCACUCACUCUACUAGCAACUCCACUAACUCCUCCACUAAUCCCACUAGUUGUUCCACUAACUCUACUAAUUAGGUAGCAUAAACAAAUAUAAUUAAUUAACAACGGUAAAUAUUUCUAACAGUUUUGGGUUUGAAGCGGAUGUAGCUUGAAUAUUAUACAGGAGGGGAAGGGAUCUGAGGUAUUUUUCCAUUUUUUGAGCCCGGAAUUAGGCCUCCAUGCGUGAUAUACUGUUUAUUUAUGGCUGCAGAGAUUUGUUUGUGAGUGAAACUGAUAUUUUUGUUCAUCCUUGAAAGUUUCUGAAUCUAAUGAUGUUUCCCAAAGGCAAAGUUAUACUUGGAUUUUGAUUUUGAUUUUAAAAUUUUGUGGUAGCUUGUCUAUUUAAGGUUAUGAAAAAAGAAUGCUAAACUCAUAGUUAGCUUCAGUUUCUAGAGCAUCAGCUUCACCUGAUUGGUGUUAGCUUUUCAUCUUAACGGAAGCAGGAGUUAUGACUAUGUUUCUUGCUGUUUUCUUUUGUUACUUUUUGUGAGAGAACGCAUCUUGGAAGAUGUAUGUUUAUGUUUAGCUUUUCAUAGAACCACAAUGUGUUUGAGAAAACCAUAUCUGAUUUUGUAGCAAAUUACCAAAACUAAAAAUCCUGAAAUUUCCUUCUGGUUUGAAUCGUCAAAGUAGAUUUCUUUACUCGGGGUCAAUGAUGAAAAUUCACUCAAUUAUCACUAAUAUAUGAUUAUGACCUUUCUUGGAUAUUAUUUACUUUUCAUGUUGGUUUUGUUUGUGCAGGAGGAUUUCCUAACUGACCAUGUUCAGAAACCUGAAAUUACUGAUUAUGCUAUCAUAAUUUAAGUCAUCUUCGGGUGCAAUGGAGAGUGAUUGCCUUACGGGUUCUUUUCGGCCCUGCAUAGACAAUGAAAUCAUGCAUAAAGCUUGGAGAUUAAUUCGAUGACGCAUCCCUGUUGCUUAUCCAACUCAAUUGAGUCAAGCUGAUCUUUUACACCGAGUUCUACCCGGAUAACAUACAUGUGUAAAAUGCAUAGCAACAGUAUGUCAAAAAUUGCUUCCCGAUUUAGAGUGAGUAAAGUUAUUGGGGGCUUACAAGCUGUAAUCUUUGAUGUUUGAAUGCGCCUUUGAGUUUGACGUAUCAAACUUGGAUAUUGCGGAGUAAUGAAUUAUGUUCCCUAUUUUUAUUUUCUUUUUCCUUCGAAAGGUCAUUGAUCUUCUUGCUUCUUUUUUCUGGAUAAUCAACCAUCUGAGAGUUCUUACCUUCUAAUAAUCUCCUUAGAAAAUUUUAUUUAGUCACUUCAAUGCAAAAGACAUAUGGCCUGAUAUGCACUCGACUUAACAAUAAUGAUAUCACAGAACAAUCCAUAAGGAAAUAAUAUUGCUCAAGAAGAAACCCCGCAUGCUCUCUUUGACAAUUUUUCCUUUUUCUAAAAUUUAUUUGCAUUUCCAUCAUAUGGUGAAGGGUGUAUUUCUAAUUUUUGUUUUCGUACAUCCCAAAGCAGGAAAAGAAAUUAAAGGACUUUGCUAUAGAUAAGUUUAUUAGGAUAGAAAAGAACAGAGAUGUGAAAAAAUGAAAAGAAGAGAAAAUGAGAGGAUAGAUUUUGACUUUUUAAAUAGUUUAUGAGUGCACGCGGCACAUUCCGUUACUCAAUUGGAAGGAAUAUGUCAAUUGUCCACUUUUAUGCAAAAUUGGAUAGAUGAGGGAUCAAAUUUACUGUUUGAAAUAGAUUGAGAUCCAGUUCCGUGCAUGGGUCCGUGCAUGGGUAAUACAUUGAGGAUUACAAUUACAAUUCUCCCUUAAAUAAAUUCUCUCCUAAAAUUUUCUAAUAAGAAAUUCUUCUCUUCUAGGAUCUCCUGGUGAGAGUUUCUUUUCUCCUAAAUUAUUCUAAUAAGAGUUUUAUUCUCUUCUGAAUUUUUUCUUGUGAGAGUUUUUUAGGUUUUUAUCUUUGCUAAAUUUGAGAUUUUAUAGAUCUAAAAUCUAGUUUUCCAUAUCCGCAAUUUCUCCAUUAUUGUCAGAUCUAAAUUUCUCUUUGGAUUUGAAUCAGUUUUAAUCCAUUAUUGUUAGAUAUAAAUUUUUCUUUGGACUUGAAUCAGUUUUAAUCAGAUAUGAUUGUCAAUAGACAUGCGCUUAUAUAUUGGAAUACAGUGAUUCAUCCGGAUGGAAGAUAUAUAGAAGCAUUAAUGUUAUUUUUAUUUGUAUUAUUUUCUUAAAUCUGUUAUAUCUAUUGAUUUUAGAUCUACAUGUAUCUGUGUCAUAUUUGUUUGAUGUAUUUUCUACCAUUAGUACAGAUUUAUUUGAAUGAAAUGAUCUUUUUUAUAUAAAAAAAAUUUCAGCAUUACUAAGGUAAUUGUAUUGUGUUUAAUCAACCUGUUUAUUUGCUUUUUCGUCUUUCACAUCUACUAACAUUUAUCAUUGCAAUCAUAUUUUACUUGUAAUAACGUGUAAAACAAAACCAUCGUAGUUAGCAAUUACUCCACUUCAUAUUUUAGUCCUUUUCAUGGUUUUACCCAAUUACUCAUAGUCAACACUGGUAGAGUUAGGCAUUAAUUUUAAAAAAUGUAUCAAGUUGUAUUCCGUUUUCUCUAUUGUCCAAUAAAAUGUCCUCACUAAUUAGUUUUCUUUUUCCAAUUCACUAUUAUCUGCGUAAAUGAAAAUAAUAUUAUUCGUCGUGGAAUCACAUUUUUUUAAGUGUAUUUAUGUUCUAUCAAUAUUCAGUGACAAAUACAAAUUUACAUCCAUUUGUCUCUUCUUUCAUUGUUAAUAUUCAAUAUGCGUCGUUCAAUCUCCAAUGCGCAAAUUUGAUAAAAUUAUAUAUUAUUUUAUUUCUUAUAUUCACUGAAUUAUAAACUGCCAAAUUUCUAAUAUAUUCUCUAUGUCUUCCAAUUCAAGAAAACCAUACCAUUUCUCCGAAAUACAAAGUUAUAUAUCAAUUAACAAUGUUUAACAGACACCCCAUUUAUGCAUUUUCCCUUAAAGGCUCUUCACUUAUUACACCUUUUUUAAUCUUACACUUUACUGCAAUGGCAUGACACGUUAUGAUGUUUCAUACAAUGACCCAAUUCAUUUUUAUCAACAAGAUGUGGGCAACAACUAUGCACUCGUAACUUUUGCCUAGCAAAAUGAACAUUGUAUAAUGUAAAGGGCUAUAUUACCAUUAUAUAUAUAUAUAUAUAUAUAUAUAUAUAUAUGUGUGUGUGUGUGUGUGUGUGUGUGUGUGUGUGUGUGUAGAACUCAAAUUUUGAAUGAUUUCUAAUAGUGCCAACACCUGCAAUUAAAAUCUUAUAAAUUCUCUUAAACUCUCUUGACUCUUAUAGAUACUCUUAACAAGAUUUAUCAACUAAUGUUUUAUUUAUAACCUCCUACACUUAUCGUGUAAGAAAUCACUUACACAAAAAAUUACCAAAUAAAGUAUAAAUUCCUAAAUUACGAUAACUACUAAAAACCUGAUUCUAAAUAAAACUACUAAAUAAUUAGAUAAAAACUUGUAGUCUUGAUUCAUUUGCCAGCAAAUCAAUCAUAUAGUAUUUGUUAGCUACUAAUUUUUUCAACCCAUAUCAAGUCUUUUACGUGCCACCAAUAAUAGCUCUUUUAUCGGCAUUGACCUAUUACCCAAUUUGAACUUCAUCCCUGCAAGAAGAACGACGAUCUAAUUUGGACAACAAAGAGCUCGGGGUGCUUGGGGGGAACCAGAAGAGAUGGGACCUUAUGGCCCUGCUCGCCAACUCAGUUGUCUUAGAGUUAAUUGCAAGAAAAUCUCGUCCAAAACGUGCACAUCGUGUUUUGCUUUGCCAUGUAAUCUUCUUCUUCUUCUUCUUCUUCUUCUUCUUCUUUUUUUUUUUUUUUUGUUUUUGCUUUGCUAUCUAACCUGAUUGUUCUGACACCAGAAAUAUUUGUAAAUUUAUUUCUUGCCCAUUUGAACAAACUUGAAAAUAUAAAAAAUGACCUCUUUUAGGGUCCGUUUGGCUGGGAGUAAAAUGUUUUCCUUGGGAAAAUAUUUUCCAUGGAAGUAAUUUUUCAGGAAAAUCAUUUCCCUUUCAUCAUUUUCAGGUGUUUGGUUAGCCUAUUGAAAAUAUUUUUUUACUUCAUUUUCUGGUGUUUGUUUAACUUUUGAAAUAUUUUCCAACUUUGAAAUAUUUUCACUUUUACCUCUGUCUUUACUUUCUACACAUUAUAACCACAUACUUCUUCCCAUGCAAAAUAAAAAAAUAUUUAUCUCAUUUUUUAACUUUAAAAAAACUUAAAGAAAUGUAUAUAUGGAUAAAAAAUUUCUCCUUAAGCAAUAAACAAAUUGCUAACCAUUCAUUGUCAAAUAUCAAUCACACGAAUGCUUAUUGUGACAUAUAUCUUACAGUCUCACUGCUAAAAGUUUCUCUAGAAAAGAAUGCCCCUAUUAUACAUAAUUAAUUGCUAGAAUAAGGUGAGUAGGGUGAGGCCUUUUUUUUUAUUUUUUAUUUUGAGCAUACUAUGGGCCUGUUUGAAACCUUGAUUUUUUACCAAGUUUGUAUAAAACUAAUUUUUUAACAACUUUUGCUACAGGAAUCCCAAAAAACUUAUCAAAGUUUUUAACCUACACACUUCAAAAAUACAUAAAAAACUUUCCCUUCAACUUUUCUUCUUUUUCCUCCCCCACCCAACCCACCACGUCCUUCGUUGCCGGCCACCACCUCCACCACCGCUGCCGCCGGCUAGGGGUGGCAAUUUUCGACACGACCUGAAAACACGACACGAAUCUAACACGAAAUUAAUGGGUUUGGGUUGAGGUUUCGGGAAUUCAGGUCAGAAUCGGGUUGAACCCGAAAAGAAAACAGGUCGAUUUCGGGUCAACCCGUGGUGACCCGAUAUGACCCGUUUAUGAAUUAAAAAUAAUUUAAUAAACAUAAAAAUAAUUUUAUCUGACUAAGCUAAGUUAUUCUUUUUUUCAAACGCAUUAAUUACUUAAUCCUAAAUGAAUUUAUUUAAUUUGUGUGAAGUUGAAAUUAUUAUAUUUGAACAAAUAAUAUAUUAUAUUAUUUUUUACUUUUAUACUGUUUUAAUUUAUUUUAUAUUUUGUUUGGGAUAAAACACUUUUACGGUGUUUAAUUUAUUUUAGAUUUGGCUUGAAAUUAUUUAUUUAAAUUUUUAUUACUUGAUUAUGUAAUUAGUUUUGUGAGAAAUUAAUUUUAUUAGAAAUUACAGUGAUAAAUUAAUAAAUUAAAAUUAAAUUUCGGGUCGACCUGUCAACCUGAAAUUUUCGGGUUCGGGUCAAUAUACCUGACCCGUCACCGGUUGGCGGGUUGGGUUCGGGUCAAUAGAUUUUUUGACGGGUCGGGUCAAACCCAACCCGCCAACCUGAUUUGGACCCGAAUUGCCACCCCUACCGCCGGCGGUCACUAUUCCGACAGCUAGUUCUGGCCUUCCUCUUUUUUUUUUCUCUCUCCCUCACCCCCUCUGCUCCUCUCCCCUCCCCCUUUUGACCGAUCUAUUGGUGCUCUUUUUCUUUUUUUUUUUUUCUUUCUCUCUCCCCCCUCCCUUCUUCGCCUCUGCCUCCCCCACCACCCUCCCCUUCCCCCUUUGACCGAUCUGGUCGCUCGACCAGAUUGCAAAGGGGGAGAGGAAGGGGGUUGCGAUCUGGUCAGCUAGGGGAGGGGGAAGGUAGCGGGGGAGGGAAGGGGAGGGGUAGCGGGGGAAGGAAGGGGAAGGGGAGAGGGAGAGGGAAAAGAGGGAUGGCGGGGAAGGUAGAGAGAGGGGUGGUAGGGGAGGGAGAGGGGAAGAGAAAAAAAGCAAAAAAAAAAAAGAAAAAAGAAUCACUUGUUAGUUGCUGCCAUGGAAGUCUCGGGAGAGAGAGCAGGGGAGGGAAAGGGGAGAGAGAAGAAGUGGGGAGGGAGGAAGGAAAAGAAAAAAGAAAGAAAAAAAAAUUCAUCUUACAAACACCCAAAGUUUUUCUACGACUUCUACAGUGAUCUACAUUAAAGUUUUAUACAAACACCCAAAAAACUCACCUUUUAAAUAGUCCCGAUCUUUGAAAGUUUGACAGAUACCUUUGUAGACACCAAAAUUUUAAUAAUCCCUUCUUAUUAUUUAUUUCAUUUUUAUUUUUACCUUUUUAUUCUCAUUUUUAAGGAAAUUUUAUUUAUUUGUUUGGUUAUGCAGGAAAAGAAAGAGAAGGCAGAAAAGAAAAGAAAAAAUAAAAAAAAAGGGAGGAUGCCUCACGCGCGCGUGCGCAUCAUCUUCCUGGUUUCGUACAGAAGCCAGGAACAAGUCUCAGGAAUUGCAGCCGGCCAUUUGAUCCAUUUCCACUCGUUUCUAUUGCAUUUUUUUCCCUCCAAGCCCUUCGGUACAAUGCCAACUCAUCCUAGUUGGAAUCUAUCAAGAAAUAUCCAGAUCAAAAGCCACCCGAUGGCUUCAAAAAUGCCACAAAAAAAAACCCAUUUCAUCUGCACCAUUGAAGCAAGGGUUUGGGAGGUGUUUUGUGCCUAUAAAAGGCUCAUAAACGCAGCCCUAAAGAAAGAGAACAAGGGAUAGGUGGCUGAAGGAAGAAAAAAACAGAAAAGAUAGAGAAACCAGAGAGAAGAAAGGAAAGAAAAUUUUCUGGAAAAUUCGAUACCGGGUUGAUCGAGCAGCCAUCUUUGGAUGUCAUUUUCUCUUUCUUUUUAGUUAUUUUUUCAUAUUAAUACUCUAUGGAGGUAGAUAAAGAAUUUUCGUGUUGAAGGUCUCUGGAGAAAACAACUUUAAAGCCAUGAAAUCCGACGCCAAAGUUGGAAGAAAACCAGCCCUGGUUCCGUCGUAAUUUUGUUGAAAAUUUUUCAAUCCGCUUCCACUAGCAUUUUCCGGGUUCCAGUUUGUUUCUAGAGCUUCACAAGGUAUUUUUAUAACCUCUAUUAGUUUGAUUCGACACUAAACUAAGAUAUUUGCACGAGUUUAUGGGAUUUUGCAUUUUUGUUGAUUUUUGGUUGAGAUUCCUUAUGUCUUGGAAAGCUGUUCUUUUGAUGGUUUAAAAAUUAGCUAAAAAAUAGCGUAGAAGAUGACUUGAUGUUUGCUUUUGAUAGAGUGGCCGAAUAACUUGUAGUUUUUGGUGUUUCCAUGGUUGGUUCCGUCGAAGUCAGUUUCAUGGCUUCUUUCUUGCAUUAUUAUCAUAUUUGCGCCUAUUUGAUCUUCAAAAAGGCUUUGUAUCGGAGUUUUUGGUUGUGUUAAUGAGUGGUAUAUUCUGUUGGAUUUUAGUUCACAAAUCAAUGGUUUUGUUUGAGCUCAUGCAUGAUUUUCCACGUAUAAAGCUGAUACUUUGCGAAGAAAAGUUGCAGAAGAUGAAAUGAAGAAGAAAGCCUCGGUUCUGAUUUGCAUGAAACUUUUAAAAACUACAUUUCGACCCCUAAAUUUUCACCUAAUUUCACUAUGACCUAAAAACUUCUACAAAUGAACCAUCUUGACCCCUUUUAAAUUUUAAUCAUCUUUUACAUAUUUUAAACAUGUUUGUGGGCGAAAUAAUUCUGGGUUUUAAGACAUUAUUAGGAUUAAAUAAUUUUUUUAGUUGAUUUAUUAUCCUAUUAGGUUUUGGUAAAAUAAGUGUGGUUUUGGGUUAAGGGUUAUUGUUUGGGUUUUGGUUAUGAAUUUUAGUUAUUUUGAUUGGGUUUUUUUUCGUUUGGGUUUCUUCGAGCAAAACUAUGGGUUGGCUUGUGUAUUCUGCCUCGGACUUUCGCUGGGCUUGGGGAGGUUUCAGCCCAACUAAAGCAAAAGAAAAUGAAAGAUAGCCCAAUGGCCCAAUUCCUUAAGAAACACUGAGAAUUGCAAUAUGGUCCCUGUACUCUUGUAUAAUUUUGUUUUGGCCCUAAAAACUUUAGUAUUCUUUUAAUUAGGUCUUUAAUUUAAUUGUGCUUUGGUACCUAAAUUUUUUUCUUUCAUUUUGACCUCUAUUUUUUGUAAUAAUUGAAUUUAACCCCAAAAAUUUCUUAAUUUUUGUAAUUAGGUCCCUAAUAGUUUUGAUUUCUUAAAUAUAAUUUACUUUUCUUCUUUAAUUAUAGAUUAUACUUCAUUUAAAUACUUUGAUUGGUAGAUUUCAUGAUAAUUUCCAUUUAUUUAUAAUUAAAUUAGUGUCUUAAUCAUUUUGUUCGUUUUGGAGUAUAAGUAGGGCAAAUUUCACCCUAUUUAAUCACCACUUCACGAGAGGUAACCUCUUUUAUUAUUUUAAACUCUUUCAUGUGCUCCAAUGUGUUUUUAUGUGUAAUUGCAGGUUUUGAAUGUUUUUUCUUUUAAUUAGUCAUUCUUAUUCAUUUUUAAGUUUUAUUUGUUUUAUUUAAUUUUGAUGAUUAUCUGAGAGGCAUUAAAAUGCCAAGUUGUAACAGAUAGGUGCUCAAGACAUGUAUUUUGCUAGUUUAUGCAAUAGAUAGGUUCUAAUUUUUGUUUAAAAUGUAUUUAGUUAGAUGAAUAUAAUAAUUAGGUUAUUUUUUUUUUGAAUUCCCCUUUAGAUUGUAGUUAGGGUCCGAAUGUAAUAGUUAGGCUUUUAUUUGCAUUUAUUUGUUUGGGUGCUUGCAUGCUUGUGUGUUUAUGUGUUUACUCAUUUUCAUUUGGGUUUUGUAUCUAGAAAUUAUGAUUAUGUGUUAUGUGCUCUAUGUGCAUUAUGUGUUUAUUUGUUUUAAUUAUGCUUUAUAUGAUUUAUUUAAUUAUAAUAAAUGCAUGACGUCACCACAUCAGUCCAACGCUAAUUGUGACCUUCCUUCGCGAUUUCUCACUAGUCCCACGCUAGUGAGAACUUAUAGACAUGGGUUAGUUAUUUAGUCCAAUGCGAGACUCUUAGGGACCGUCCACGCACUAUAUCAUGUUUUUGUGACAAUCACUACAUUUCAUGCAUAUUUUCUACUUUUUAGAAUCCCUACCAUUUGGCAUGAUAUUUCCUCUAUAUGUAUAUUCCUUAUCCCUAUGUGCGAAAUAGAACAUUUAGACUUGCGUUUCAUUUAAGAAACUUAGAAAUAUGUGAGAUCAUUUGCUUGAUUAGAUUAGGAGAGCACCCCUUCAAAUAUGGGAAAUGAACAAGUAUAGCUACUUAGUCUUAGCACGCUCGUGUCUCCUCUAUAAGAAAAAAAAUUGAGUUACAAAUCUUAGUCCCCCGUACUCAUUAUCAUGCAUUCCUUUAGCUCAUGUAUAUUUGUAUAUUAUUAUUUUUCUUUCUUUUCUUCGAGUCUCAUCUUUUGCAUAUUCGUAACCUUUUCAAAGAGUCACUCUUGGGCGUCUCAAUUAAUGCGCUUUGCGCCAAUUAAAUUUUGAAGAGAUAUUUCGACCAUCCCGAUAUCCAUUAGGUCUAGAUUUGCAUAGAUAUAGUAACAUAUAAAUGUGAUAAGUUUUAUAGGUUAAAUUAAAAAAUUUUUAACUAAAUCACACAACUAACCUUGACUAGAUUGAAAGGGUGUCAUAGAUCAAAUCUUUGUCUUCUCUUUCUUCAAUCGUGACUCCUGAACUUUUUUCUUUUGUUUUCAAAGACGUGGAGUCGUUUAAAGAGGGUUUUACCUAUUUUUUUAUUAAAAAAAUAUUUUUGGGUGAUUUGGUACACCUUAACUCAAUAUCAAGUGACGACUCCUAUUUUUUUAAACUAUUAUUUUGGGCCAAAAUCGUCGCACUUUUAAAGUCCCAUGUUAGGCUCUUUUUCUGCAUUUAUUCUCUAAAAAUCAAAAACUCAUUUUUACUCAAAAUUAAUCAAAAAUUCAUUUUUUAUAACACGUAAUUUUAUUUUUCAAAAAAAUGGGGCACGACAACCUUUAUCAGGCGGGACACAUACGUUUAGAAAAACAACUUUAGUAAGUUUGGAAGCGAAGUUGUUUUUUAUAAGAUGAGUGAAAAUCUUUUACACAGUAAAAUAUUUUCAGUAAUUUUGUGCAACCAAACAUGGGAAAUUAGGAAAUUAUUUUUCUCGAAAAGAUUUUCAACCGAACACAAACAGACCCUUAAUGCAGUAUCAAUUACUUCUGGAAAGCAACUUUGCUAUAUAAUGCAACCACCGAUACCCCAAGCACUAUUUAUUUGACCAAAUAACAAUCUUUUUUCUACACAUGCUUCAUGUCAUGGAAAAGUCUGCAAUAACGAUCGUUAUGAUAACGAAACUGUUUUUACCUGAUAUAACAGGUAGAAACAAUUUUAGUGACCAUUUGAUUACCUAUUGGACUGGUCACCUAAAUAAGAUAGUACCUAAAAAUUUGAUUAGUAAGUUUUACAUAAAAAAUAGUAAGUUAACUCGAUAAAUUAGUAACUUUUAUGUCUCAACAAGUAAAUUGGAAUAAAUAUGGAACUUACUUUUUUUUUAAAAUAAAUUACUACUCGAUAUCCAAAACUUACUUUUUGGAGAGUAAGUUUAGUUCAAGUAAUACUAAGUUUUUAUAGAUUAAUAGUAAAUAUUGUUGAUAGAAUAGUAAAUUUAGUUAGUGGUCAAAACCUACUAGUUUGUGGUAUAAAUUUACUAUUUUACUUAAAAAACUUAUAUGAAACAAGUAUUAGGAAGUUCAUUUGAAGUAAUGCUAAAAUUUUUUAUUAAUGAUUAAAACUUAGUAUUAUAGUUAGUAAUUACUCAUAAUGUAAAUAUAUGAUACACAAUUGUACGUAACAUUUAUAAAUGUUAUAUUGUUUAAGCAUUUUAACUAUACUAUGAAAACUAUUUUUUUUUGCACAUGACCUUUAAAAUAUGUAAGAAUAAUUUGUCAUAUUAUAAAUUUUGAAUUAUUUUUGAAUUUGUGAAAGGUUAGAAAGUUUGGAUGACAAUAACAACAAAUCUUUCAAGUUAUAUAUAGAAUUGCACUUAUCUAUACAUCACAAUUUUCAUAUAUUAAUACCUAUGAAUAUAAUAAAAUGGUAAAGUUUUAAUAAAUUUAUUUACUGGGUCACAAGUAUAAAAGUUAAAGUUGUAUUAUAAUAACAACAAAUCUUUCGAGUUGCAUAUAAAAUAGCACUUACUUAUACAACACAAUUUUCAUAUAUUAAUGCCUAUGAAUUUAAUAAAAUGGUAAGAUUUUAAUAAAUUUAUUUUCUGGGUCACAAGUAUAAUAAUUAAUGUUGUGUUAACAUAGCAUAAUUUUUGAAAAUUAUAAUAAAAUUACCCAUAUGUUAAGUUUUGUGACUUUCAAACAUACUUUGUAUCAUUUACAUUAUGGAUUUGUAUCCAUAUUUUUCUAUCAAACUCUUUUUCAUUGGCAAAUGGUAUAUAAAUUAUUAUAAAAUGUCAUUUUAUAAUAAUCAUAAUUUUUUAUAGAUGAAUGUUAUGCAAACUGUUAAAAUUAUCAAUUCACAAAUGGCUAAAUCUUACUACUUAUGGCAUAUAUUAGUCUAAUUGACUAAAAAAAUACUGUAAUCAUGUAUACGUUGAUUGUUGAAUUGAAAUUUCGUUUAUUACUAGUACAAGUUCUUCUAAUCAAAGCAAAAUAAAAUCAAAUAUCUUUCCCUUUUGUAUGUAGUAGUUAUGUUUAGUAGAAAAUUAUUAAACCAUUUUUACAAUACAUAAUUUCUCCUAAAAUUAGUAAUAUUUUCCAUGACCUCUAACCUUAUCAAUAAUACUAACGACCGACAUGUAGAUAAUCUUAAAAGCAAAAGCCAUCAUUAUGACAAAAAAAGAAUAUUUUCAUGCUGAAUAAACAAAAUUGUAAUUCUAUAUAGAAUCGAAGAAAUUCAUCAUGAAUGAAAAUGAAUUGCAAAGUUAUUACAUUUCUAAUUUCAUAUGUAUCUAGAAUUUCACGCAGCAUUACUUUAGAGGAACUUUCCUUUUUCACACUAAGGAACCAAUCUCAAUCUCUUCGUCUCUUUUAUUUUUUCUUUAACCAUUAAAAUACUAAAUAAAUUUAAUUCCAUUUCAAGCUCUAGUUAAUUGUAUACUAAUAUUUUACACAACAAUCAAUUGAGCACCAAUUUCCUUUUUUUAAGUAGCUAUUAUUUAUUUUAUUACUUUGGUUAAAUAUUUACAUAUAAAAUAAUAACAAUAGAAUGCCAAUCCUCGGAUCAAUGAAACUUCAAUUAUUGUUAAUAAAAAUAAUUUUACAUUGAUAAAAAUUAGUCUACAGAAUGAAAAGUCAAUGGCAACAAUUGCUAAAAUAUAGCAAUUUUUAAUUGUGGGAAAAUAAACAACUAAGUUCCCAAAAUAUUUCACUUUUAUUGUUUAAAAAAUCUCAACUUGUUAACUAAAUUCAAAAUAAUUCUAUUGUCAAAAAUAUUUCUCCUCAAAUUAACUUUAAUGAUUAGAGAUGAGAUACAAAUAUGGCAAAAUAUCGCUCAUACGUGUGUCAUGGAUAUUUGAGACUUUUAGUAAAAAACUUUUUGUUGUUAAAAUAACAUUGUAUCAUAGUGUACUAAUUAUUUUAGAACCAUUUUUAUACGUGAACUAAAUUUAAUUUAAAUUAUACAAUAUAUUAUAUAUGCAUGUGAUUUUCAUUUAUAAUUGUUGGAUCCUAUUUUUUAUGAACAAUCUCCCAAGGAAAAAAGUUCAGAUCAUACUGAUUUUCUUAUAUUAAUUGUUAUACUAAUUUUGUCAUUUUUAUUGUUAUAUUAUUUCUCAUUUUGUUUGGGCUUUAGCUCUUAUUAUUUCUUGUGUCCCAGGUCUAAAUUCAUUAAAACUUUAUCAUCUUAUUAUAUUCAUAAGUGUUAAAUUAUAAAAAUUGUGAUAUAUAAAUAAGUGAUAUUCUAUAUAUAACUAGGAAGAUUUGUUAUUAUUGUUAUUCAAACUUUUCAGAAAUUGAAAAUGAUUAAAAACUUAUAAUACGACAAAAUUUUAUUACAUAUUUUACGAGACUAUGUGAAAAGUCAAAUUAUUUUUCAUAGUAUUUUAAAAUAUAUAAAUUCAAAAUUUUUUUAAAUUAUACUUAUAAUCAUGUAUUAUACAGGUAUAUUACGAGUACUUACUAACUAAGGUAAUAUGUAUUAAUCAUUAAUAAAACAUCUUAUCGUUAUUUCAAAUAAAUUUCCUAAUACUAGUUUGAAAUAUGUUUUAAAGUAAAAUAGUACAUGUGUCCCAUAAUCAAUAAGUUUUGAUUAUUAAUCAAAUUUACCAUAUUAUCAGUAAGAAUUACUAUUUAUGUAUAAAAACUUACUAUUACUUGAAUUAAACUUACUCUCUAAAAAGUAAGUUUGGGAUAUAAAGUAGUAAUUUAUUUAUUUAAAAAGUAAGUUUAAUAUUUAUUCAAAUUUACUUUUUGAAGUAUAAAAGUUACUAAUUUAUUACUGUUAACUUACUAUUUUAGAUGAAAAACUUACUUUCUUAUUUUUAAGUGUUAUUCUAUUUAGAUGGAUAGAUCCAUCAAGUAAUCAAAUGGUCGCUAAAAGUGCAACAACCUGUUAUAUCAGGUAAAAAAUUAUUUCGUUACCAUAAUUAUCGUUACUAAAACAUUGUACUCGUGUCAUAAUCAUCGAGCUUUACAUGAAUUGUUCAUCAAAAUUGGUCUCCCAACUUUGAUCUUAUCAUCUCAUUCUACCAUUUAAUGCGACAGCGAAGAAAGUGAAACUAUACCAUAAAUCUGCCCGAAUACCAUCAAAUAAAUAGCCUACAUGAAUGUGUUAUGUACUAUAAUCUUUUUCCUACUGCAGCUUGAUGAAAAUGGGAAAUAGUUUUACCCUUCAACUCGUAUAGACACUGAACAUACACAAUUUUUUUUUUUUUACUGCAGUUUCUACAUUGAUCUCCUUUUUCUAAUAUUAAGUAACACGAUGAAUUAAUCUCUUAAACUUCCAAAUUGCGGUAAUUACAGACAGAUGUUUGCCAACUUACAACUACAGCUUUGCCAAAUUUCUCAAGACAAAGAAAAAUAUUUUUAAGUAGGCAUCUAUGUGCAAUGUAGGUAUGAAACCAGAGAAUUCUAGUAGGGUUAAUUAGAAAAAUCCAGAACUAUUCAGGCGAUUCAUAGAAUUAUACUUAUUAAAACAUGUCCUAAUAAUUAUAGUGGAAGCAAUUUAAAAAAAAUUAAUGUUGGGAACAAAUUAAGCUAAAUAAAAUAAUCAUUAUCUUUGUCAUACCUAACAAUUUCAUUCAAAAAUAAUUAUUGUCUUUUUCAUACUUAACAAUUUCAAGCUAAUUAAAUCACAGGUGUUUUUCUAAAGAAAAAAAGAUAGCAAGACAAAAUUGUAUAGUUUAGCUUAUUAAACAUCCGGUUUUAGAUAUUUAUCAAACAUUAUAGAUAGAUUUAUUAUUAAGAUUCAGAUAUUCAUAUAUUUCUUUUUAUUAGUUAAAAUUUAGCAAAUUAAUUGUUUCAAUAUUCAGUUUCAGAAUUCAGAUUCAAUUUUAUCAAAUAGGACCUUAGUGUGAACUCUUAAUUGUAAUUGAAUUUGAUAUUUUAAAAUUGACAUUUAAUACAAACUUUUAUGUUUAACUAAAUUUGAUUUUUUCAAAGCCACAAUUAAUACAAAAUCUCAAAUUUAACUAAAUUUGAUUUCUUGUCAAUCACAUUUAGUACAAGACAAAGACAAAGAAACGGUAAAAUGGGAUUUAUAUUACUUACUCGAAAUGAACUUUUUUUGUUUUAAGAAAAAUACAAAGAAAUUAAUGUUAAAAGAUUAACUCCUUUUCAUAAAUUUUUGUCAAAAAGUACAUAGGGAAAUGGAUGGAUUGGGUGAUUCGAAGAAGGACGUGUAAGUGAGAGAUUUUGGUUUUAAGCUUCCCACUUACGCUAUUAAAAUAUAUAAAUUCAAAGUGUAUGUAAUUAGACUAAUUUUUGGGGAUUAUUUAUUCUAACAUGGUCGACAUUAUUGAUGAAAUAUGGCAUCAGCAGAACCUAACACUUUGGAAUUCAUCUGUCCCAGAAUUUCAAAUGGUAACAUUUUUCCUUAAAAUUGGAAUAUUUAUUUUAGGGAGGUAAGAGCAUCCGGUGGAAUUGAAAUAUGAAUUUAGCUAACGGGUGUGCAAUUGGCCCACGUUGAAAUAUCAGCUUGGCUAACCGGUGUUCUAAUGGCCUUCACUAAGUGGGGCGUUAGGCAUUAAUUUUUGAAAAAAUGUAAUUAAUUUGAAAAAUUAUAUAAAUUCAGGGGAUAUAAUAAUUGUGAUUGUGUGAAUUUAUAUGGUAAGUUAGAUGUAAUUUAGGUACAUUAACAAAUAUCCACCUAGAUGGGAACCUUCACAAAAAUCCCAAGGCAUUGUUGUUUUGAGAGAAGGGCAGGGAAAGGAAAGCAAACGGAAAUGGAGGGAUAAAGUUUUUAAAUUUUGGAUUAGUUUUUGAGGAGAGAAAGAAAAGGAUUUGGAGGGAAAGGGAGGGAUAAAAUUAGUUAUUUUUUAUCAACCUGUUUCAUGUCCAAAUGUGGGCAAAACAAAGGGAAACGACACCAAAUUAAUGAAAAUUUCAAAAUGUUCUAAAAACCUAUCAUGUAUUUAUAAAUUAAAUUUUAAAUUAUGGAAAAAAAUAUAAUUGAUGCAUGAUAGUUUUCUUUCCUUUCCUCUCGUAAUCCAAACAAAAUAGACAGACUUAGAUUUCUUCUACUCCCCUUUCUUUUCUUUUCCACUAGAGUCUUCUCCUUUCCUUUCCUUUCUUUCAAUCCAAACGGUGCCUAAAAGAAAAUACAAGAUGGUGCGACUAAAAGUUCAUACCAUUCCUAUGGACUGUCAAUUGCAUCAAAACACGAACUUUGUCUAUAUAAUGUGCACACUUUGUGACUGAUUUCUGUCGAGUGCUUAGCCCAUGAUUGUUAGUGUUGCUUGUUGGAUAGUUUACUCUCAGUAAAAUACUUUGAGAUUUUAGGCCAUAGUAUAUACUUAUGGCUUAUAAGGUGCAUUACUAAGACAAAAAAUACCAAUCAGCAACAACGGUAAUAUUGGGUUUAAAUGAUACAAUACACUAGGAUAAUGUGCAUUUUACCGACUUCAUGAAUGUGAAGAACUAAAUAUUAUGUAUUAAUUAUUUGUUUUUUUUUCCGGAUAUAUUUGGCUUCAAUUAGCGCUCAAACUCGAGAUCUCACAAGUAGACAAAGAAACCAUAUUUUUUAGGUAUGGUUUCUCUUUAUUGCUAGAGUUGGUAUCAAAUGUACUUAGGAGACUGAGAUACCUUAAACAACCUUAAGCCAGGGCUAUGAGCUAUAAAACAAGAAGAGGAUGAACUACUAGAAGAAGAAUAUGGGCAUAGUAGGGCUGUCAAAUAAAUUGAGUUGCUCGCAAAUAGUUUGAGUCAAAACUCGAUUCAAGUUAGGUCAACAUCGAACUCGAAUCGAGUUCGAGUUAACUGAGUUGAACUUGAGAUCAAAGAUACUUAACUCGUUAGUUCGCAAAUCGACUCGAUUUUAUAUAUUUAUAUUUAUAUUUUUUAUUUUAAUAGUAAAAUUACAUAUAUCCUUAAUAUUUUAUUAUUUGUUAAGAAACAUUACUAUUUUAUUCAUUUUUAAAAAUAUAAAAUAAUUAUUUUUUAUUUUUUUAAACUCAAGCUUGAGCCCUACAAUAAGAACUCGUUGAUUUUGAGUAGGGGUGGCAAUUCGGGUCCAAAUCAGGUUGGCGGGUCGGGUUCGGGUCAACCCGCCAGAAAAUCUGUUGACCCGAACCCGACCCGCCAAACCGUAACGGGUCAGGUAUGCUGACCCGAACCCGAAAAUUUCAGGUUGACGGGUUGACCCGAAAUGACCCGAAACUUAAUUUUAAUUUAUUAAUUUAUCACUGUAAUUUCUAAUAAAAUCAAUUUCUCACAAAACUAAUUACAUAAUCAAGUAAUAAAAAUUUAAAUAAGUAAUUUCAAACCAAAUCUAAAAUAAAUUAAACACCGUAAAAGUGUUUUAUCCCAAACAAAAUAUAAAAUAAAUUAAAACAGUAUAAAAGUAAAAAAUAAUAUAAUAUAUUAUUUGUCCAAAUAUAAUAAUUUCAACUUCACACAAAUUAAAUAAAGUCAUUUAUGAUUAAGUAAUUAAUGCCUUUGAAAAAAAGAAUAACUUAGGUUAGUUAGAUAAAAUUAUAUUUAUAUUUAUUAAAUUAUUUUUAAUUUGUAAACGGGUCAUAUCGGGUCAUAUCGGGUCACCACGGGUUGACCCGAAAUCGACCUGUUUUCUUUUCGGAUUCAUCGGGUCCAACCCGAUUCUGACCCGAAUUCCCAAAACCUCAACCCAAACCCAUUAAUUUCGUGUUAGGUUCGUGUCGUGUUUUCAGGUCGUGUCGAAAAUUGCCACCCCUAAUUUUGAGUUUGAUAAAAUUAAAUCAAAACUCAACUCAAUUAAACAAAAAUUUGACUUGACUCAACUCGUUUACAAACCUAGAUAUAGAGUUACAAUAGUGACAGGUUGUCGAUGCCUGUGCAAUAAUAAAACCUGCUCAAACUAAAAGUAAUUUCUGUAGAUAACGGUAAGCAGGGUCGAAUCCACAGGGACUGGGAGUAAUUGUUCCUUUUCAAAUUCACAGUGACAAAGGGGAGUGUUUUUAUAUCAGGGGUGACAACUCAACUAAAAGUAAAAUAAUAAAAAUAAAAUAGCCAACUAGAAAUUAAAAAAACACAAUUUACUAAAAUCAAAGGAUCUAGCCAAGGAAUAACUUCAGCAAUGGUUCACCUAAUUGAUCAUUGAUAAGCAAAGGCAAUUCCAAUUAUUUACUAAUAAAUAGGUUAUAACUGCCAAACAAGCGAUGGCAGUCAGCCCCUCCUUACUGUGUCGGUGAUCAAGGUACGCUCGUUAAUCACUUCUUUAAUUGGAAGAACAAUCCUAGGUACGCCCAUAAGAUUUAAUUUCCCAAUUGCCUUACGUAUUAGAGGAGCCCUAUUCUAAUCAAAUAACGCACUACCAGGGUUAUUUCAGAUUAGCCCGCGUAUCCCCCUGACACGAAUCUAAUCGUGCCAGUUGUCACUAUUUCAAGACAAUUAAACAAUUACGAAUUUAAUGUCCUAAUUGACAGUAGAUUAUCCAAUCAAUUAACCAUCCGGAUCCAAGACAAUCAACUAAUUAAAUGACCAUAAGCAUAGCAAUCAAGGAAUAUGCGAAUACUAAUAAAUAAAAGAAAAAAAUUAAAUUAAAUCGAUCUUACAAUUUGUAGGCGAGCCAGAGCCUUCGUUAUUUCUUGACUAGAAUGAGGAAAUUAGUUCAUAUUUGAUGAACUGAGUCCACACAACAUUGAAGAGAAGCCAGCGGCCAUGGUCCGUUGAAAUUUAGCAGAAUCCAACUCGUCUCAAUAUAUUGAAUGAAUAGAAAAGCUACAAAAGUUCAUAGUUUUCACUCCGUCUGGCGCACAACAAUGAAGAAAAGACUACUAAAAGCAACUAAGGAAGAAAAGUCCAAGCCAUGAAUGGCUAAACUCCUGACAUUCGUAAGUCCCAAGAGCUACUAAGAAGCCAAAGAAAAGUCAAAGGCAGCAAGUCUUCAUUGUUCCUGCCAUGCGUUUCCGUUCUUUGGUCAAAAGUCUAAAAAGGAAGAAGAAAUCUAAUUCUAAGCUAGAAGCUGCUGCCCCUUCUUCUGCACCAUUUUCUCUUAUAUCCUCCUGUUCCGUGCGGCGGCUCCAGGGAGAAGAACACUUUUGGCACAAUGACCGAAAAGGGCUCAUGUCCCUACUUCCCAAAAAUGCCCUUUCGAGCCUUCUAUUUAAUUAAUUUCCCGAUGAUUGUCAAAUUGGCCUUAAUUGUAGUAUUUUCAUUCUACUCCCUGAAAUAAAUGUAAAUUACGAAAAGUGAGUAGAAUCCAAUAAUUAAUUCACAUCGGGUCAGGUAAUAGAAAAAAUUAAUAAUAAAAUAAAUGAUAAAAUUGCACCCUAUCAAAUAGCUCUAUGAAUUACCGUAAGACAUAGAGAAUAGAGAGAUUGGUACAUAUCCUCUUAAUAGUUAAUUCCCCUCGAGGCAACUCUGGUAUGAUUGAGCUAAAGCUCAUUGUGCCUAGCAAAGGGGGUGUAAGUACAAUGUUUUACUCUUUUUUCCCCUUUUUUUUUUUCUUUUCUUCAAAAGAGGAUUAAUACUGGUUCAAUUUACAUGGGUUCAAAUACAAUGUUUUACUUGUUCAAAUGGUUCUGCAAAAUUUAUUUUUCAAAACCAAUUAUGGCAAUCCAAGCUUUACUAGUUUUGGGCCCUAGAUUCAUUUUUCUCAGUUACGUAGACCACUGAACAGAACUCUUUUUUUUUCCCUAUUAUUUCAUUUUUCUUUUGUGUGAAAUUUUGACCACGAAAUAUAACUAGAAGCAUCUGGACCUGUCCAUAUUAAACACAUCUAUAGGAUGGAUUACUGAAUAAAAACGAGCUUACGUAUUUUGCUAAUGUGCCUUCUCUACAAAGUGGCACAAUUCAAAGGAAUUCUUACGCAGGUAGACAAACUAAAUUAAAAAAGAAAAAUUGAAAAGGGAGAUAUACCACCUUUUUAUUAAUUUUUUUAAUUUGGUAAGUCUUUUCUUUUUGAAAGGUUAGUUUGGUAAAUCAACUCAAGUAAUGAAGUAACAAAAGUAUAAGCUUUAGGGGUUAUAUAUUGAAAUCAGCAAAUUUACUGAAGAAAAAUAGGUCCUUGUGAGUACGAAGCAACCACUUGCUUCAGAAUCACAAUAAAAUCACAAAUAUUCAUUACUCACAAAUAAUAUUUAUUUCUGUUGUUCAACCUUUACAAACAUUGCUUGUGAAACUAACAAGCAUUAGCUUUAUAAUGACAUAGCACUUAAUAGCACACAUUUAUUCGUGCAUCCAUUUUAGAAGACACCAUAGCAACUUCAAACACGCUAAAUACUUAGAAGAUAUGUCUCUCUCUCUCUCUCUCUCUCUCUCUCUCUCUCUCUCUCUAUAUAUAUAUAUAUAUAGAUGGUUCAAGCAUUUUUGAUGUGAUGAGAUUCAAUGUCUUCAACCAUGUGAAGGAAAAAGUUGAGCAAGGUUCCUGGAUGUGGGGUAUCUUCCUUCAGCUUCUCAUAGUCGAGAGUCCAUGUAAUCAAACUUUCUUUGUCACCAAGAACAUCAACAUGGUAUAUGAUAGUGAAGGUCUUGUACAGCUCCAUGAGAUCUCCUUCAAUCAUCUUAAAUACGAUUGAUUUCUUUUCUUCAUUUAUGUCUUGAAUAAUCUGCUUUGCCACCCUAUCUUUCCCGUCUGUAAAAAUGAAAAGUAAAUCAAUUACAGACUCUCCAAUUCCUAGUCAACAUGCUGGUAAUCCAAAAACAAGGUUUGCGGAAUUCUUUCUUUUCGGUUUUUAGGGAUAGACAAUACUAUUCACACAACCAGGGAAGAAUUCUCGUUGUGAAACAUCUGGUAUAUCGCAUAAAAAACUUGAGAAAAGCAAAAGAAAAAAAAUUCUGUAGUAUUAAUUAAUUGAAUUCUUUACGAAGAUGGACUUCCUUAAUUAACCUCUGUAGUUUCCACAAUCAGAUUAUUGUCUUCGUAUAAAUACUAAUAAUAAUAUUAAUAAUACGGUUAAUAGUAAUAGAUCUAGUCCGUUUUUCAUUAAAACUUUUCCCGAGGCAGAUAUUAAGCUUUUAUCCUUUCUUUUUCCUGGCAAAUAAGUUAGAUAACUAAUUGUGUGCCAGUUCAAAGCAGGGAAAAACGGAUGGAGAGAGUUUAAAUCAACUUAGUCCAGAAGCUGACCAACACGCAACAAAAGCUAAAUGAAUAAAGGAAAAACAAGAAAAACUGCGGGGAAGAAAGAGCUUUGAAUAUUGAUUCC